AAAGGAAUUGACGGGGACCCGCACAAGCGGUGGAGCAUGUGGUUUAAUUCGAUGCAACGCGAAAAACCUUACCACUCCUUGACAUGGAAAUUAUACCUAUUCGAAGGGAUAGGGUCGGUUCGGCCGGGUUUCACACAGGUGUUGCAUGGCUGUCGUCAGCUCGUGUCGCGAGAUGUUGGGUUAAGUCCCGCAACGAGCGCAACCCUCAUCCUUAGUUACCAUCAGGUAAUGCUGGGGACUUUAAGGAGACUGCCAGUGAUAAACUGGAGGAAGGUGGGGAUGAUGUCAAGUCAUCAUGGCCCUUAUGGAGUGGGCUACACACGUGCUACAAUGGUGGCUACAAUGGGCUGCAAAGUCGCGAGGCUAAGCCAAUCCCUUAAAAGCCAUCUCAGUUCGGAUUGUACUCUGCAACUCGAGUGCAUGAAGUUGGAAUCGCUAGUAAUCGUGGAUCAGCACGCCACGGUGAAUACGUUCUCGGGUCUUGUACACACUGCCCGUCACGCCAUGGGAAUUGGUUUCACUCGAAGCUAACGACCUAACCGCAAGGAGGGAGUUAUUUAAAGUGGGAUCGGUGACUGGGGUG
Molecule: ribosomal RNA, 583 nt
Filed under: uncultured bacterium
Lineage: Bacteria
Description: bacterial SSU rRNA
Rfam family: Bacterial small subunit ribosomal RNA
Source: RNAcentral